RNAcentral lists this non-coding RNA (29 nucleotides) under Cricetulus griseus (Chinese hamster). The record is from RNAcentral. RNAcentral also lists the same sequence under 1 other name. Lineage: Eukaryota; Metazoa; Chordata; Mammalia; Rodentia; Cricetidae.
AUGUCUCUGUGGCGCAAUCGGUUAGCGCG